This 425-nucleotide ribosomal RNA is filed under the name uncultured bacterium. Its description in RNAcentral is "partial 16S ribosomal RNA". It matches the Rfam family "Bacterial small subunit ribosomal RNA", at positions 354 to 796 of the family's 1533-position model. The record is from RNAcentral.
GUGAGGAAUAUUGGACAAUGGAGGAAACUCUGAUCCAGCCAUGCCGCGUGAGUGAUGAAGGCCUUCGGGUUGUAAAGCUCUUUCGGGUGUGAAAAUGAUGAUGGUAACACCAGAAGAAGCCCCGGCUAACUCCGUGCCAGCAGCCGCGGUAAUACGGAGGGGGCGAGCGUUGUUCGGAAUCACUGGGCGUAAAGCGUGCGUAGGCGGUUAUACAAUUCAGGAGUGAAAUCCCAGGGCUCAACCUUGGAAUUGCUUUUGAGACUGUAUGACUAGAGAUCUAGAGAGGUUGGGGGAAUUCCGAGUGUAGAGGUGAAAUUCGCAGAUAUUCGGAGGAACACCAGUGGCGUAGGCGCCCAACUGGCUAGAUACUGACGCUGAGGCACGAAAGCGUGGGGAGCAAACAGGAUUAGAAACCCGAGUAGUCC